RNAcentral lists this ribosomal RNA (512 nucleotides) under uncultured Saccharomyces. Its description in RNAcentral is "eukaryotic LSU rRNA". It matches the Rfam family "Eukaryotic large subunit ribosomal RNA", at positions 62 to 578 of the family's 3401-position model. Lineage: Eukaryota; Fungi; Ascomycota; Saccharomycetes; Saccharomycetales; Saccharomycetaceae. The record is from RNAcentral.
AAACCAACCGGGAUUGCCUUAGUAACGGCGAGUGAAGCGGCAAAAAGCUCAAAUUUGAAAUCUGGUACCUUCGGUGCCCGAGUUGUAAUUUGGAGAGGGCAACUUUGGGGCCGUUCCUUGUCUAUGUUCCUUGGAACAGGACGUCAUAGAGGGUGAGAAUCCCGUGUGGCGAGGAGUGCGGUUCUUUGUAAAGUGCCUUCGAAGAGUCGAGUUGUUUGGGAAUGCAGCUCUAAGUGGGUGGUAAAUUCCAUCUAAAGCUAAAUAUUGGCGAGAGACCGAUAGCGAACAAGUACAGUGAUGGAAAGAUGAAAAGAACUUUGAAAAGAGAGUGAAAAAGUACGUGAAAUUGUUGAAAGGGAAGGGCAUUUGAUCAGACAUGGUGUUUUGUGCCCUCUGCUCCUUGUGGGUAGGGGAAUCUCGCAUUUCACUGGGCCAGCAUCAGUUUGUGGCAGGAUAAAUCCAUAGGAAUGUAGCUUGCCUCGGUAAGUAUUAUAGCCUGUGGGAAUACUGCC